CAGUAGCCACGGGAAUACGUAGGCAGCAAGCGUUGUUCGGAGUUACUGGGCGUAAAGGGUGCGUAGGCGGUCCUAUAAGUAUGGUGUGAAAUCUCCCGGCUUAACUGGGAGGGUGCGCUAUAGACUGUGGGACUAGAGUGUGGGAGAGGAAAGUGGAAUUCCUGGUGUAGCGGUGAAAUGCGUAGAUAUCAGGAGGAACACCGGUGGUGUAAACGGCUUUCUGGACCAUAACUGACGCUGAGGCACGAAAGCGUGGGUAGCAAACAGGAUUAGAUACCCGUGUAGUCCCUGUCUCUUAUAU
RNAcentral lists this ribosomal RNA (301 nucleotides) under uncultured bacterium. RNAcentral describes it as "partial 16S ribosomal RNA". It matches the Rfam family "Bacterial small subunit ribosomal RNA", at positions 509 to 809 of the family's 1533-position model. The record is from RNAcentral.